CUUCGCCACCUGGCACCCAGCAAUUUUUUAACACCGUGGUAUUCGCACGACAUCGUUUCUGGUUUCUUUCUUUUUACCUGUCAGCGAUUCAGUUAUAUGAUACAAACACGCUACGGCGAUCGGAGAGACAGAGGAAGCGAGCUGAUCAUUCAUCUUGGCUCUCUCUCUCUCUUCUUUCCAAAUCCCGUGGAAUUUCAAUUAUCGACUGAAGCAAUUUAGGAUACACUAGAAGAAUUCUUGAAGAUUCAAUUUGGUGUUGCACCUUCUACAGUUUUAGCAGUUAACCCCUUCUCUUGUAUCACCCUUGUUUGUCUGGUGUGAUGUGGGGUUUUGCUUCUAAUGCCAUCACAAGCAUUGGACUUAAAAGAAGCUCCUCAGAGCCAAGCCGGGUUUGUUUGGACUCCUCGGACGAUGAAGUCUGCUCAAAUUCAAGCCAAGAGGAGGGGUUAGAAUGCCCUAUAUGCCUGGAAUCUUUUAACAUUGUCGAGAAUGUGCCCCAUGUCUUAUGGUGUGGUCAUACCCUGUGUAGAAAUUGUGUCUUGGGGCUUCAAUGGGCUCUCUUUAAAUUCUCCUCUCAAAAUUUUAAGAUCCCAUUUUUCAUUGCUUGCCCGUGGUGCCACUUGUUGUCUUUGCGGCUGGUUUAUAAGGGGAAUCUAAAGUUUCCACGCAAGAAUUUCUUCCUUCUCUGGAUGAUUGAGAGCUUCAAUGGUGAAAGGGUAAAGUUUGGUUCUGCACUCAGUGGGGAGAAUCAACAAAUUGGUUCUCCAAGAGCAAGUUUAGCUAUUGGAAAUCAAACUGGCAACGGUAACCUGAGGAGGACCCAUUCUAGUUGCCCUUCGCUGUCGAGGUAUAACCACGAUGAUAGGGGUAGUCGUGUCGAGCGGCAUCAUUUCUCCCUGCAGAAGUCUUUGGAAAGUUUCAUUCACCUUACAUCCAAGUUCCCAUUAGUCGUAGUGUUUCUUUUGAUUGUCUUUUUUGCAAUACCUGGCUGUGCUAUUAUUUUGGCUCUCUACUUGUUACUCACAGUGGUUUUCGCAAUCCCCUCUUUUUUCUUGUUGUACUUUGCAUACCCUAUUUUGGAGAGGUUGGUGAGGGAGAUAACCUCAUGACCAGGCAUUAUUGGCUCGUCACCCUUUUUAGAACCUUAUGGCUCCAACUAUCCUCUUCCAGUUGUCAUCCAAAUUUUUUUUCAUCAAAGUAGAGCACAUUAUGCUAACUUGAGCCUUCGGCAUCCAGAGCACUCUCGGAUUACAUGGUAUGCAUGACAGUGGAAGUUUCAAGAGUAUAUGAGGCAUGUUUCUUGGGUAAUUUGUAAGGUCUGGCGUCUGAGUUUGAAUGAUUGUCAUUAAUGUAACUACCAUUGUUUAUUGGAAGUGGCUGAUUUCCUAUUGCUCAACUGAUUUUUGAGGGAGUAUUUGAAGUUGUGUUAGUGAAUUUUUACAUGUACGCUUACUUGAAGGCCGGCAAAAAUGACCGAAAACAACUAUUUGACUUUCAUGUCUAAUCUGUUUCAUGAAAUCUGCGCAACAUAAAUGAAUAGAUUUGGGAAAGUCAUUUGACUGGUGUAAACCUUUGGGAAGGCUAGGCUCCAAGGCUCGUCCUUAUUCGUUAUACAAUGAACAGUCAGUAUUAUUGCCUUCUAAUUUCAGCUUGAUGCAUGCUGCGAUACCUUAUACAUUCAACAGCACAAGCGUGGGAUGUCUGAUUGGUUUCUUGACAAAGGCCUUGUCUUUUACUCUUAACUUCAUUUGUGGUCUAGUACCAUCUAAUUAGUUGAUUUGUACGUGCUUUUAGUAUGGUAUGAAUAAUCAUGGUGGAACUGCCAUCUUAUUGUGAUUGCACUCUGAGUUUCAUACAGGAUAUGAAAGAAAUAUUUACAAUCUUGAAAGUAGCGGAGUAUCUAUAAUUGGUCGACUUAGAAGCAGAAACAUGAUGUAGGAGCUUUCCCUGUUUUUCUGAUUGCAUUUGCCUUUUCUUUUACCUUCAAGACUUCAUUUCUGUACCGCUCCUCUGCCUGUGCCCUUGCUCCCUCUGCAAUCUGUUUAAUAUGUUCCAUAUCUCUGUUGAACUUUCGUUGAGCUUUUACUCUUUUUUUCUCUACUUCACUCUGCAGGUUCAAUAAGUUUAAGUUGGAUAUUAGUCCAUAUGGUCAAAGUAUUACAUUUGAUAAAGAAAUGAAACAAAACCUCUUUUGUACUGAGUCGGCGUCUGGUUUUCUUCUUCUUCUUGCUCUCCCAGGAAAGUAUUGUGGCGUUUUGUUUCUCAUACCUGACAAUCAUGAAUGUUAGAGGAAGAACAGAAUAUGAUCUUAAAUUCCAAGGUUCUGUUGCACUCUGCCUCAUGGUUUCAUUUGAAGGGCCUGCAGUCUCAGGUUUUAUAUUGUCAGCUUUGUUCAACUGUUUAUCAGCAACAGUUGGAGUGUUUUUAAUUG
Prunus dulcis (almond) is the source of this 2431-nucleotide RNA transcript. RefSeq lists it as uncharacterized. The transcript has 3 exons. Lineage: Eukaryota; Viridiplantae; Streptophyta; Magnoliopsida; Rosales; Rosaceae. The record is from RefSeq and is a predicted model, not a curated record.